UCGGUCAUUUCAAUAUUCUGAUUGCAUAGUUACCUUCAUUGGGAAUUCUGAUCACAACAAAUCCACAUCAUCUGCUGAUGUUUCCUAACCCUGCAGAGGAUGCUGAGAUGAGGGGCAGUGAGGCAUUGAAAUACAGAAGUACAGCAGGAGCAGGAGAAGAGGGCUCCAAAGGUUCUUCAGACACACAGCUUCUUGCUACUGCUAUGAAGAAACACUCAAGCUUGCACAUGACAGCAGAUUGGGAGCAGGACAGCCAGGAGGGAACUCAGUGCAGGAGGAAGGAAGGGGAAGAUCUCACAACAACCAUCAGCAGCACAGAACCAAAACCCUUGCCAAAACCCAGCAGCUGACCAAAGGUCUCAGUGAUAGAAAUAUGCUAUUGUCACAGAAUAUAUAACUAGCAAACCAA
Molecule: long non-coding RNA, 409 nt
Organism: Phasianus colchicus (ring-necked pheasant)
Lineage: Eukaryota; Metazoa; Chordata; Aves; Galliformes; Phasianidae
Source: RefSeq, a predicted model, not a curated record